This 1046-nucleotide ribosomal RNA is filed under the name Bifidobacterium breve. RNAcentral's name for it is "bacterial SSU rRNA". It matches the Rfam family "Bacterial small subunit ribosomal RNA", at positions 56 to 1108 of the family's 1533-position model. Lineage: Bacteria; Bacillati; Actinomycetota; Actinomycetes; Bifidobacteriales; Bifidobacteriaceae. The record is from RNAcentral.
UGCAGUCGAACGGGAUCCAUCGGGCUUUGCCUGGUGGUGAGAGUGGCGAACGGGUGAGUAAUGCGUGACCGACCUGCCCCAUGCACCGGAAUAGCUCCUGGAAACGGGUGGUAAUGCCGGAUGCUCCAUCACACCGCAUGGUGUGUUGGGAAAGCCUUUGCGGCAUGGGAUGGGGUCGCGUCCUAUCAGCUUGAUGGCGGGGUAACGGCCCACCAUGGCUUCGACGGGUAGCCGGCCUGAGAGGGCGACCGGCCACAUUGGGACUGAGAUACGGCCCAGACUCCUACGGGAGGCAGCAGUGGGGAAUAUUGCACAAUGGGCGCAAGCCUGAUGCAGCGACGCCGCGUGAGGGAUGGAGGCCUUCGGGUUGUAAACCUCUUUUGUUAGGGAGCAAGGCACUUUGUGUUGAGUGUACCUUUCGAAUAAGCACCGGCUAACUACGUGCCAGCAGCCGCGGUAAUACGUAGGGUGCAAGCGUUAUCCGGAAUUAUUGGGCGUAAAGGGCUCGUAGGCGGUUCGUCGCGUCCGGUGUGAAAGUCCAUCGCUUAACGGUGGAUCCGCGCCGGGUACGGGCGGGCUUGAGUGCGGUAGGGGAGACUGGAAUUCCCGGUGUAACGGUGGAAUGUGUAGAUAUCGGGAAGAACACCAAUGGCGAAGGCAGGUCUCUGGGCCGUUACUGACGCUGAGGAGCGAAAGCGUGGGGAGCGAACAGGAUUAGAUACCCUGGUAGUCCACGCCGUAAACGGUGGAUGCUGGAUGUGGGGCCCGUUCCACGGGUUCCGUGUCGGAGCUAACGCGUUAAGCAUCCCGCCUGGGGAGUACGGCCGCAAGGCUAAAACUCAAAGAAAUUGACGGGGGCCCGCACAAGCGGCGGAGCAUGCGGAUUAAUUCGAUGCAACGCGAAGAACCUUACCUGGGCUUGACAUGUUCCCGACGAUCCCAGAGAUGGGGUUUCCCUUCGGGGCGGGUUCACAGGUGGUGCAUGGUCGUCGUCAGCUCGUGUCGUGAGAUGUUGGGUUAAGUCCCGCAACGAGCGCAACCCUCGC